RNAcentral lists this small RNA (284 nucleotides) under Arabidopsis thaliana (thale cress). RNAcentral describes it as "ATSL082360". The record is from RNAcentral. Lineage: Eukaryota; Viridiplantae; Streptophyta; Magnoliopsida; Brassicales; Brassicaceae.
UUUUUUUUUACGGGACGGGUUGGCGGGACGGGUUUGGCAGGACGUUACUUAAUAACAGUUGUAAACUAUAAAAUAAAAAUAUUUUAUAGAUAGAGAAAAUUUGUAAACUUUUAUAUAUACUAACUUUAAAAGAUAAAUUGUCCCCACGGUGUAUCACGGAUUAAAAUCUAGUAUCGUUGUAUAAAUGUAAAGGAUCCUUAACCACCACCAACGGGGAAGGGAGAACAACAGACAAAGCUGAUUUCGUAAGAGUGUUCGGCAUGAUUGAUUUUGCUGAAACUUAU